RNAcentral lists this ribosomal RNA (978 nucleotides) under Tenerella cneius. RNAcentral describes it as "SSU rRNA". It matches the Rfam family "Eukaryotic small subunit ribosomal RNA", at positions 414 to 1325 of the family's 1831-position model. Lineage: Eukaryota; Metazoa; Arthropoda; Insecta; Phasmatodea; Pseudophasmatidae. The record is from RNAcentral.
AUCCAAGGAAGGCAGCAGGCGCGCAAAUUACCCACUCCCGGCACGGGGAGGUAGUGACGAAAAAUAACGAUACGGGACUCAUCCGAGGCCCCGUAAUCGGAAUGAGAACACUUUAAAACCUUUAACGAGUAUCCAUUGGAGGGCAAGUCUGGUGCCAGCAGCCGCGGUAAUUCCAGCUCCAAUAGCGUAUAUUAAAGUUGUUGCGGUUAAAAAGCUCGUAGUUGGAUGUGUGUCCCACGCUGUCGGUUCACCGUUCGUCGGUGUUUAACUGGCAUGCCCGUGCGGACGUCCUGCCGGUGGAUGCGGUCGGCCGCGGGGCCCCCCCGGGGUCCUGCGCGUCGGCGGUCCGAUUCAAUCCUACCGCGGUGCUCUUCACCGAGUGUCGAGGUGGGCCGGCACGUUUACUUUGAACAAAUUAGAGUGCUCAAAGCAGGCAGUGGUUCGCCUGAAUAUUGUGUGCAUGGAAUAAUGGAAUAGGACCUCGGUUCUAUUUUGUUGGUUUUCGGAACUCGAGGUAAUGAUUAACAGGGACAAACGGAGGCAUCCGUAUUGCGACGUUAGAGGUGAAAUUCUUGGAUCGUCGCANGACGAACUUAAGCGAAAGCAUUUGCCGAGAAUGUUUUCAUUAAUCAAGAACGAAAGUUAGAGGUUCGAAGGCGAUCAGAUACCGCCCUAGUUCUAACCAUAAACGAUGCCAGCCAGCGAUCCGUCGAAGUUCCUCCGAUGACUCGGCGGGCAGCUUCCGGGAAACCAAAGCUUUUGGGUUCCGGGGGAAGUAUGGUUGCAAAGCUGAAACUUAAAGGAAUUGACGGAAGGGCACCACCAGGAGUGGAGCCUGCGGCUUAAUUUGACUCAACACGGGAAACCUCACCAGGCCCGGACACCGGAAGGAUUGACAGAUUGAGAGCUCUUUCUUGAUUCGGUGGGUGGUGGUGCAUGGCCGUUCUUAGUUGNUGGAGCGAUUUGUCUGGUUAAUUC